This 497-nucleotide ribosomal RNA is filed under the name uncultured bacterium. RNAcentral describes it as "partial 16S ribosomal RNA". It matches the Rfam family "Bacterial small subunit ribosomal RNA", at positions 28 to 507 of the family's 1533-position model. The record is from RNAcentral.
GAUGAACGCUGGCGGCGUGCCUAAUACAUGCAAGUCGAGCGAACAGACGAGGAGCUUGCUCCUCUGACGUUAGCGGCGGACGGGUGAGUAACACGUGGAUAACCUACCUAUAAGACUGGGAUAACUUCGGGAAACCGGAGCUAAUACCGGAUAAUAUAUUGAACCGCAUGGUUCAAUAGUGAAAGACGGUUUUGCUGUCACUUAUAGAUGGAUCCGCGCCGCAUUAGCUAGUUGGUAAGGUAACGGCUUACCAAGGCAACGAUGCGUAGCCGACCUGAGAGGGUGAUCAGCCACACUGGAACUGAGACACGGUCCAGACUCCUACGGGAGGCAGCAGUAGGGAAUCUUCCGCAAUGGGCGAAAGCCUGACGGAGCAACGCCGCGUGAGUGAUGAAGGGCUUCGGAUCGUAAAACUCUGUUAUUAGGGAAGAACAAAUGUGUAAGUAACUAUGCACGUCUUGACGGUACCUAAUCAGAAAGCCACGGCUAACUACGUG